Molecule: ribosomal RNA, 377 nt
Filed under: uncultured bacterium
Lineage: Bacteria
Description: bacterial SSU rRNA
Rfam family: Bacterial small subunit ribosomal RNA
Source: RNAcentral
UAAUACGAAGGAGGCAAGCGUUGUUCGGAAUCACUGGGCUUAAAGCGCAUGUAGGCGGGGUGCCAGGUACCUUGUGAAAUCCCUCGGCUCAACUGAGGAAUAGCUUGGUAAACCGGUACUCUUGAGGCAGGUAGAGGCGGGCGGAACCAUGGGUGGAGCGGUGAAAUGCGUAGAGAUCCAUGGGAACACCGGGGGCGAAAGCGGCCCGCUGGGCCUGAUCUGACGCUGAGAUGCGAGAGCGUGGGUAGCAAACAGGAUUAGAUACCCUGGUAGUCCACGCUGUAAACGAUGCGCACUAGAUACGAGGAGCUCUGACGUUGCUCGUAUCGGAAUAAAAACGUUAAGUGCGCCGCCUGGGGAGUACGGCCGCAAGGCUA